Molecule: non-coding RNA, 7285 nt
Organism: Paramormyrops kingsleyae
Lineage: Eukaryota; Metazoa; Chordata; Actinopteri; Osteoglossiformes; Mormyridae
Source: RefSeq, a predicted model, not a curated record
UGCCGAUACAUUAAAAAAUGCUAAAUAUCGGCCGGCCGAUAUAUCGGUCGACCUCUAAUUCAAACCACCCUUUUAUUCAACUGGUGUUGAUUGUUUCGGGCCAUUUCAGGUGAAAAUAGGCCGCCGUUUGGAGAAAAGGUGGGGGAUCCUUCUUAAGUGUCUCACAACCCAAGUGGUCCAUCUGGAUCUCCUCUGCAGCUUAGAUGUUGAUUCCUUUCUUAUGGCACUUCGGAGGUUCAUAGCUCGACGUGGACACCCAGCUGAGCUUUAUUCUGAUCAGGGGACUAAUUUUAAGGCUGGGGAAAGGGAACUCCAUGAGGCCUUUACAGCUAUGUCAGCCGAGCUGCAGAAUCUCCUUGCAAAGCGUAAGAUUGCUUUCCACUUCAACCCUCCUGCUUCCCCGCACUUUGGUGGGGUUUGGGAGAGAGAAGUUCGAUCAGUUAAAGCGGCCUUAUACAAGACGGUGGGGGCCCAGUCUGUCACGGAGGAGGUGCUCAGAACAGUACUACUCGAAGUGGAGGCCAUCUUGAAUUCAAAGCCCCUUGGAUAUGUAUCUUCUGACGUGGCAGACAUUGAUCCUAUAACUCCUAGUUUCCUCUUGAUGGGGCGGCGGGAUGGUGCCCUACCUCAAGUUCUCUAUCCCCAAACAGAAUGUCUGAGUCGUCGCCGAUGGAGAUAUUCUCAGACCCUGGCAGAUCAGUUUUGGUCAGCCUUUAUAAGACACUUCUUGCCAAAUCUGCAAGUUAGGAAGAAGUGGCAUUAUGAGCUACCAGGAAUUUGCAAGGAUGCGGUGGUGCUGGUGAUGGAUCCACAGCUGCCGAGAGCUCACUGGUUCAUUGGCAAGGUGUAUAAGGUGCACCCCAGCUUGGAUGGACAGAUAAGAUCUGCUGAGGUCCAGAUAGGACAGAGGACUUAUGUUCAUCCAGUGGCAAGACUCAUUGUGCUGCCUACUAUCCCGGAGGAGAAAGAGGCUGUUGCUUCAGAAGAUUAAAUAGUCUAACCUUUCAGCCUUUCUUAAGUAGCAAAUUGAUGUCCAAUUUGGGGGCGGCUGUACGAAAGGCUGACAGUUUUGUAGCCGCACGAACCUUUUUUUGAAUGCACAUCGGGGAGUUUGAAUGUUUUGCGGAAGUUAGUCCGUGUGCGUUAAUGUCCAGAUGUGAGUAUAACGUCCUACAUUUAAAUAUGUAUUUGUAUUGCUGUAAUUUAGUUGUCUGUUUGAGUACCUGUUAAGUUUAUUGUAAUUAUCGAGCGGUGUUUAUUGACGGGUAUUUGCAUUUGUUUAAAGUGCAAUCGCGAGUCCGUUAUUAUAUAAACUGUUAAGUACACUGAAUAGUAAUAACUUACAAGGGUUAAGUAUUUAUGCAGCUAUAACGGGGAGAUAUGUGUAUUCUAUUUGUGUUGGUGCAGUAUAUAGUGAAACUUGCAUUUGUAUUAGUGGUGUUGUUUUACCGUUUAGGAUUUUAGUAUGUAUAGGUAUGUCACAAAAAAUGUCAAAGUUGUUGGAUUUUUACAAAAAUAGCACCAGAAGAAACUAUGUAGUAUUAGAAUGUGAUUCUUUACGGACGCGUGUUUUCGUGGAGAGAUUGUAAUUGCGGUACUGUUCCCUCACAGACCACACAUUCAAUCGUCCAACUCCACUUCCCUGCUCAUAAUCCAUGUGAUGUCCCACCGAAGUUUGUAUCUGCUUCGCAUGUCCUUCAGUAAAGUUCCCCUUCUGUACACGUGGGUGUGUUCCUUGUGCUCUGACCGGCAUCCCAGGGUGGACACAACCUAAUUCUCAUAAGAUCUAUACAGUCCUUUAAAGGCACGUCCCAACAAUCAUCGAUACAAAUGACUGGGCCAUUUCUCGGCCAGAGUUGAGGUGAUUUCAUAUUUUCGCCCUGUUUGCUAUAGUUAUAUUUUUGUUUCCUUUUUGUCCAUGAAAGUGAAUCUAAGAAAAUGAAUGACUGUAGUAUCAUUUACUUUAAUAUUCUCGCUGUCCGGAAUCGCCACAGUGCUCCCAUUUCUCUCAAUGUACAGCACCUAGCCCCCUCGGGGGGUGUGGGGGGGGUGAAGAAUAGCAGGCACUGCCUGAAUUUCCCCGCAGUCCCUUGGGGAUUCCCAGGCUGACACAGGGGUGGAUAGAGAGCUGGUUCCUUUUUCUCUGAGGUCAAAGAGGGUCAAAGCCCAGGGGAAUGCUGGGAAAUUCCAAAGCCUUGCCUUCUCUAUAAUCCCUCAUCAUUUGUAAGUAUUACAUAGGCGUUACUUAUGGGUGGGACAGGUGAGACACAUUCCACACAAUAUUCAAAACAGUGGUGAUUGUCCCACCUAAAUUUUUUCCAGGAUUUUGCGCUUAGAUAUGUAAAUAAACUUGUUGGGGGAAUUCGGUUCUCAAGUAAUCUACUGACCAAGGGGAAAAAUCGUCUAGCCAAUGAUUUCAUUUGCAUGCAUAUAAAAAAAUGUAUAUAGUCAAUACUGACAUGGGCACAUAACCUAUAAAUAGAUAUGAGUUAUGAAUAAAAAUAAGGUGAGGGGACAGAUUUGACUUAGUCGCUUAAUGGAUUCGUCCCUCACCCUCCCAAUGCUGAAAACACAGUGAUAUAUUGUUGAUAUAUUAUACGCAGGAAUUUUUCUGAUCAUCAGUGUGUUUUAAUUUUUAUGCAGCGAAAUAUGACAUAAUAUCAUACAAAGAUUUUGAAUUUUUUAAAUGUACAUUUGACCGCGGAGGGUCAUUGUGACGGUAGCAGGGAUGUGCUUCCGUUUAAGGUACAUAAAACUUAAGAGCGGAAGUGUCUGCAGAGCAUUUAACGAGUUUAUAGACUAUUAGGUUACUCUGCAUGUCACUUUUUACUUGCACAUAAAAACAAAACACAAUGCAAUGUAGGAAGUAAAAUAAAAAAUGACUAUGCAUUGGGGAAGAAUGUGCAAAUACCCAGAGAGGUAGUACAGCACUGAGAAAGUGCAGAAGUGGAGUUUUAACAAUAGUGUGCAAUACAGUACGGUAAAACUUUACUGAAGGCCAUGUUUUUAGUCAUUUCUAAACACAUUCAUAACAAUUGAUAAUGCAUUCAUAUGGCAUAACAGUAUAGCCAUGUGUAUUAUGCAUUAUGAAUGAUUUAUGAAGCUCUCAUCUAUAAUGCACUACAGAUACCUAUCAGCCUCUGAUGAUCAUUCUUGAGGAUGCAGCUGAUAUUUAGAGACCUAUGUCAAAUCGAAAUACCCUGUUAUAAUCAAAAUGUACUAUUUCAAUGGUUCCUGACUGAGGUUCAGUAAAAAUAUGAAGACUGAAAUUAUGGGCUUGAUACCACAUUGUUCCACAUUUUCCCAUGAACAUCCCGCUUCAUCCCACAUCCCACUUUUAAAAAUUUCACUUUUAAAAAAUGUUCACUGUCCCCUCCAACCUGACGAGUUUUUAGAUCCCAGAAACAUCUUCGGAUUUUUUAUUUUUUUAAAAUCUGUAAACAAAUAAAUGUGCAUUUUUCAGUAUAUUAUGGGUAAAUAAACAUUUUUUCAGAUAAACCAAGUCGCUCUGUUUAUUUUCUCAUAUAUAUGGACUGAAAUAUGUGAAAUUAGACAUGCAAGUACUUUUGUUUCACGAUUGGUCCCUGCAUCGUCGCAUUUUUUUUCUGUUGUGUCCCUAGUUCCCUGUUUGUCCAGCAGGUAUUGCUGGUCAUCCUGUUCUGCUCCAUGUGUUCUCCUAGGUCUUGCCCCAGUCGAAUUCCUCGCAGUUUCCCUUGUUCCCUGGGUGCCCUGUGGAUGAAUAGGCUGAGCAUGCAGCUGUGAACCUUGCGUCCCAUAGUGCCGUGAGUUUGGCAUGGGACUUCGAACAUUUUUAAGCAUGUCUGCCCCGGAACUCUGUUUUUGUAAACCACACAUUAAAUCAUGUUUGUGUUUGUGUUCUGCAGUUUGUCUUUGCCUUUAGUGCAUCUGUUCCUGGUUAACUGUGCCUGCAUGUGCUGAGUUUGUAUUUAUGUCCUGUAGUCUUUGUAUCUCCUGUGUUCCUUGUAUUUCUAAGUCCCUCUUCUCCGAGUCAUGGUUAAUGGCCAAUGCCUGUCCCUUGUUGAGAUCUCGUUAUCUGUGUGUAAAUGUCCCUGCCCACGGUCUCUUUUUCUCUGUUUGCGACCUGCUGUGAUCCCUGCUCCAAGUCCUCAUGCUUAGUUCAAGUUAGUUCUUGUGUUACUUGCCUGUCUUUGUUUAGACCCCUCAUUGUCCCUUUACUUUCUAGUUCUUUUGAGUUCAGUCAAAAAUAAAGUUCCCUUUUGUCCCAUAAGUUGCAUUGCAAACCAUGACCCAUGGCCCAAUGUAACAUAUAUAUGAAAGUGGAAGUAAUCAAAAAUGUGUAUGUUUGGUCAGAAGGCUUGUCAGGGUUAUGAUUUGAUUGGUUUUGAAACUAUACUGCUUGAUAAGAACUAGGUGCUUCACAGCACUGAGAAUAAAGGCUGUAGCUGAAGACGCAAGUGCUUACGUUCUCCUGCAACUGCUCACCAAACAGGUUGGACAGGUGAGAUCUCACUUAAGCCGCAGUGACACAGGAUCAGCCCGACGUCAGCUUGCUCAUAAAACAGGUAAGGCAAGUGAGAUCUCGCUUCAGCUGCAGUGACACAGGUGCAGCCCGACAACAGCUUACCAAUGGUCCAGAGUUGCUUCCAAAAAUGGAGCCGGUCGGAAAUGCUUUUUACGUUGGAGGGUCGUCUUGGAAAGGGUAUAUGAACAUCUUGCCGGCCCUCCUCCCUCUUUCCAUGAUUGCUUUGGGGAGUUUGCACAUCAAUGAUUGUCCCAAGCAGCCCUACAUUCCCAUCUACCUGCUGGUGUUUGGGGUGGUCGGCAUAUUACUACAGGUGCAGUACUUUCUUGGCAAAUUCUGCACCCAGUGCCAAAAUCCAGUUGCGGAGUGGCUGAGCACCGGCUGCCGUUUGCUGCUGUGCUUGUUUGCUGUCUGCUGGCUGAUUACAGGCAGUGUCUGGGUAUACAGUAUUUUCCCACCAAACUAUGAAUCUCCUCGGAAACCAGAUUACUGUGAGAAGACUAUGUAUCUGUUUGCCUUCUGGUCCAACAAUGCCAUCUACGUCUUCACAGUCUUAAUGAUUAUUUAUAGUGCCUGUGGUUUUCUUUAUAAAGCCUUGUGUUAGACAGGUAGAAACCACAGCAGGUGAAAUCCCACCCACUUUAUCCAUAAUUCCUUUUGAUGGAAGCAUGAGAAUGGAUUCUGGCCUCCGUAUCCCACUCCAUCUCCUGGUGACUUCUGUCCAGUCUACAUUUUAGAAGAACACUGAUGCUUAUACCUUCCCUGUAUGACCGACUGAUGACGGGAUUCACACAACCUCAUGCUGCUGUUUCCCUUGAGGGAGAAGCUUUAAACAGAUAAUGUCAGCCAAUCCUUGCCUGUACACCACUUCAGGGAAAAGCAUCUGCUAUACUGUAUAAGUGUAAAUGCAGUAUACUUUAGAUAUAUACUUUUUGUUCAGUUUUAUUAGCCUAGCAGCCUGCGAAAUAAAUGUCAAAUGUCAGCUCUGGCUAAUUUAAUCUUUUCUUCAUAGUACUCUAAUUUCAGCUGUAGUGUCCAUGUGUAAUCUAAUUAACCUGAAUUAUAUAUAUUUUGAACUGAGGUGAAAUGUCCCCCUCCCCCUUUUGUAUUGUGUAGUAAUUCUGUUUAUAAAUGCUGGUACAAUGCAUGAAACCUUUCUGAUUAAAGAACAAUAAACACACAUUCAAGCCAACAGUGCACCAGGUCUCCCCUGCUUCCGUACAACAACCCUUAACUGGUACAGUGGUACCUCGGUAUAUGGAAUAAGUCCAACUUGGUAUACGUCCUGUUUGGACACGAAAAAUUUUGCUUUGUAUACGACCUUUGUUUGGAAUACGACUCUAUACGUGCUAGAACUUGUAUGGGUCAAAAUGAGUCACGACACCGCGCGCUGCCCUUGUUUACUGUACCUCUCUCGAGACAACGCCACCACAGCCCACGAGCGUCAGUACGCCAGUUGCUACCAUUCAGCGAACAACCCGCGUUAUAACUCUCUGUGGAUUUUCACGUGAUUUUGUGUUUUUUCACGUAAAUUUUUAGUAAAUUCAUUAACCAUGAGUUCUAAGGAAGUAGGCACUCAACUCCUCUCAGCAAGCGCAUACAGAUUCUCCGCUACUCAAAGAACUCAUCUCAAAAUGCCUGCAGGUUCGUGACCUGGCCUACUGUCCCUACAGCCGCUUUCCUGUAGGUGCUGCAAUAUUAACCGUAGGGGGCGCUAUAAUCACAGGCUGCAACGUGGAAAAUGCAUCUUACGGACUGACAGUGUGCGCUGAGAGGACAGCAGUUCAGAAGGCUGUGACAGAGGGACACAGGAAAUUCUCUGCCAUCGCGGUCACAUGGUGAGGAAUCCUGCUUAGUAAAUGAGGUGGUAAACCUUUCACUGCCAAAACCAAAACAUGAUGCUGAAGACUGUCUGAAGAUCCAGGGGUGACUCUGUAUUUCUAUCAGGGAAUACCAGGACACUUCUGAAGGGAUACAGGGACACUUUACUGAAUGGUGUAUAACUCUAAUUGCAUUUUCUUGUAUAGUGAAGUCUAUGGAGUAAAAAGUGGGUGAUUGACACUAAACAUGUAAGAGGUUGUGUGCGAUUCUGAUGUGGAUGUUAUGGUCAUGGGAGGUUUACAAGGCAAGCUGCAAGUGACUUUUCCAUAAAGGAAGCAAGAAAUACUACUUCUCAUUUACAUUCAAUAGUUUAGCCAACACUCAACAGCUAGUCAUACUAUAAGUAUUGUUUACAUUACACUACAACAGCUCCCUCUGCUGUUCCUGGUAGGUAUUAUCUGUUUUCAUAGCAUUUGCUGGAUCUCCAUGAGCUUUAAAUCAGCGUUUACCAGUGCCGUCCUCAGGGACCCACGGACAGUUUUUUCCCCUCCAAAUAAAAAUGUGGACUGUCUGGCAGGGGGCUCGGAGGGAGCAAAAACGUGGACCAGCUGUGGGUCCCCGAGGACCGGAUGGGGAAACAGGGCUUUAAAGUAUUUCUCUGAACUGUCAGUGCACUGCAAUUAAGUAGAUUUUUUUUUAUCAUUUUUUGUGUGUUUCAAAUCAGUAUUACUACUUUGAUAUAAGACUUGCCUUUACCAGAGAUUUAACAACAUAUAUGUUUCAUAUUUACAUCAUGGCCCUAAAGUAAGUACUGAGAAAUCAGCUGUCUGGCCUUUGUAUAAAACCUAAGAGGCAAAGUAAUUAUACAGCUUUCAACUUAAUGUGCAGUUUUGAAACCCUUAUAAUAGAGUAUAAUAGGGACAGCACACACAUGUCUGAACUCAUUGUGGUGUGUGUGUU